CGCCUUGCCAGCCCGCUACAGAAACUUAAAUAGAAUUGACGGGGGCCCGCACAAGCGGUGGAGUAUGUGGUUAAUUCGAUGCAACGCGAAGAACCUUACCUGGUCUUGACAUCCCGGAGACCCUUAGGAAACUAGGGGGUGCUUCCAUCUGGAAGAAUCUGGAGACAGGUGCUGCAUGGCUGUCGUCAGCUCGUGUCGUGAGAUGUUGGGUUAAGUCCCGCAACGAGCGCAACCCUUGCCUUUAGUUGCCAGCAGUUCGGCUGGGCACUCUAAAGGGACUGCCGGUGUUAAACCGGAGGAAGGUGGGGAUGACGUCAAGUCCUCAUGGCCUUUAUGACCAGGGCUACACACGUACUACAAUGGCCGAUACAAAGGGCAGCGACACUGCGAGGUGAAGCCAAUCCCGUAAAAUCGGUCUCAGUCCGGAUUGGAGUCUGCAACUCGACUCCAUGAAGUUGGAAUCGCUAGUAAUCGUGGAUCAGCAUGCCACGGUGAAUACGUUCCCGGGCCUU
RNAcentral lists this ribosomal RNA (512 nucleotides) under uncultured Desulfobulbus sp. RNAcentral describes it as "bacterial SSU rRNA". It matches the Rfam family "Bacterial small subunit ribosomal RNA", at positions 903 to 1382 of the family's 1533-position model. The record is from RNAcentral. Lineage: Bacteria; Pseudomonadati; Thermodesulfobacteriota; Desulfobulbia; Desulfobulbales; Desulfobulbaceae.